UACAGAGGCCUCGAGCGUUAGGCGGAAUCACUGGGCUUAAAGCGUGUGUAGGCGGAUUGGUAAGUACCUUGUGAAAUCCCACAGCUUAACUGUGGAACUGCUCGGUAUACUGCUGAUCUUGAGCCACUCAGGGGCUACCGGAACAAGUGGUGGAGCGGUGAAAUGCGUAGAUAUCAUUUGGAACGCCAAUGGUGAAAACAGGUAGCUGGGGGUGUGCUGACGCUGAGACACGAAAGCCAGGGGAGCAAACGGG
RNAcentral lists this ribosomal RNA (253 nucleotides) under uncultured bacterium. Its description in RNAcentral is "partial 16S ribosomal RNA". It matches the Rfam family "Bacterial small subunit ribosomal RNA", at positions 524 to 776 of the family's 1533-position model. The record is from RNAcentral.